Molecule: unclassified non-coding RNA, 150 nt
Filed under: uncultured Cladosporium
Lineage: Eukaryota; Fungi; Ascomycota; Dothideomycetes; Cladosporiales; Cladosporiaceae
Description: sequence contains ITS2
Source: RNAcentral
CACCACUCAAGCCUCGCUUGGUAUUGGGCAACGCGGUCCGCCGCGUGCCUCAAAUCGACCGGCUGGGUCUUCUGUCCCCUAAGCGUUGUGGAAACUAUUCGCUAAAGGGUGUUCGGGAGGCUACGCCGUAAAACAACCCCAUUUCUAAGG